Molecule: ribosomal RNA, 253 nt
Filed under: uncultured bacterium
Lineage: Bacteria
Description: partial 16S ribosomal RNA
Rfam family: Bacterial small subunit ribosomal RNA
Source: RNAcentral
UACAGAGGUCUCAAGCGUUGUUCGGAUUCAUUGGGCGUAAAGGGCGCGUAGGCGGCGUGUCAAGUCAGGCGUGAAAGCCCCGGGCUCAACCUGGGAACCGCGCUUGAGACUGGCAUGCUCGAGUUCGGGAGAGGAUGGUGGAAUUCCCAGUGUAGAGGUGAAAUUCGUAGAUAUUGGGAAGAACACCGAUGGCGAAGGCAGCCAUCUGGACCGACACUGACGCUGAGGCGCGAAAGCGUGGGGAGCAAACAGG